Oreochromis aureus is the source of this 1126-nucleotide long non-coding RNA. Lineage: Eukaryota; Metazoa; Chordata; Actinopteri; Cichliformes; Cichlidae. The record is from Ensembl.
CCAGCCUGGAUUUUUCUAGCUCGUAGCUUCGCCCUGCUACGAAGCCUGUGUGCUUGUACAAAGGCCGUUCAGCCUCGGGAUUUACACUCGGCUCGACACGGAUAUGUGAAGAAUGAAGGGAGCCUGCAGCGAAACGGAGAGCUAACCUCUGACUGAGUGCCUGUUUUCACAGUCUGACCACCUGUUUAAGGGCUGUUUGAUGACGAUUUGGACUCCUCUGGGAGAUGAGGACACACCCACAUCUGUUCCAUACUGCAGCCAUGGAUGGUGUUACGGCUCUGAGUCAGCUUUGGGCCAUCAGAUGCACACACUGGAAAACCAGCGCCUGUACUUCAUGCAGGAGAGAUGACCUCAGUGAUGAUUGACUCUGCAUCCUCUACUUUACCUCCUAAUCUCUUUCUCUUUAACACACAAUUAAAAUCACUCCAAAAGAGUGUAAACUUACUGAGGAAGUCUCUAACUUGUACACAUUUGUACUUUUACUUGUUUUAUGAGUUAUUUUUAAGAAGAGUAAAGUUAUUCACAUAAAGUUUUUAUUCUUCUGUAUUUAUUCUUUUGUAUCAUGUACCACAGUCAUACUGAACUUUACAGACCUGGUGAAUUGGGGGGAAAAAAAGUCAUAUAUAUACAUGAAUGAAUCAUUCAGCUUCAGCAGUAUUUCUAUUCAUCUUAUGAAUUCCAGUCUAAUGUCAAUUCACUGUUUGAGUUCAGUUUUGGUCUUAAACUCCAGAGAAUACCACCUAGUUCAACAAUCUUUUUAUCUGAUUAUUUGCAAAACGGUUUUCUUCUGAGAGAUGCUGCUAGAGCUGAAAUUGAGCCCAAAGAAACAACAACAAAGUUUAGUUCCUCUGGAUUUUCCAUGGAAAAUUGCUUUAUCACUCACUCAGGUGACUUCUCCAGUGUCACGGAUGAGUGAUGAAUGUAUCUCCCACUGGAAACCAUUGUGUCCAGUUAAAGUCAAUCGACUUUUUUAAGGAGAGUUGUUAGAUGCUGUGCUCAUGAGGACAAUGAGUUUUAACUUGGAGCACAAUAAAAAGCUGCCAUAUUGGAUCAACGAACAAAACACUUAAUUGAGCAGAAUUAAGUCAAAAUGUAAUAUCCUCAUAUGACACAUCACACAUGACCC